RNAcentral lists this ribosomal RNA (842 nucleotides) under Biecheleria sp. RNAcentral describes it as "partial 28S ribosomal RNA". It matches the Rfam family "Eukaryotic large subunit ribosomal RNA", at positions 43 to 944 of the family's 3401-position model. The record is from RNAcentral. Lineage: Eukaryota; Dinophyceae; Suessiales; Biecheleriaceae.
UAAGUAAGCGGAGGAAAAGGAACUAAAUAGGAUUCCCUUAGUAAUGGCGAACGAACAGGGAUGAGCUCGGCUUGGAAACUGGGGCCUUGGCCUUGGAUUGUAGCCUCUAGACAUAGCACCAACGGAGGCGCAGGUGUAAGCCUCUUGGAAAAGAGCAUCAACGUGGGUGAGAAUCCUGUGUUUCAUCUGCAGUCCACCGUGCACGGUGCAUGUUCUCAGAGUCGCGUUCCUCGGAAUUGGAGCGUAAAGUGGGUGGUAAAUUUCAUCUAAAGCUAAAUAUAGGCUUGAGACCGAUAGCAAACAAGUACCAUGAGGGAAAGAUGAAAAGGACUUUGAAAAGAGAGUUAAAAGUGCUUGAAAUUGCUGAAAGGGAAGCGAAUGGAACCAGUCCUCUGGCUGAGAUUGCUGCAUGCUUUUGUGUGUGGUGUUUCUCAGCUUGUGAGUCAACCUUUGUUCAUGCUUGAGGAUAGCUUCAGGUUCACGACGCUUCCCCGCGGGGUUGCUCCUGUGCUUGGUGGGACUCAGGCGUGUACUUUGUGUGACAAAAUGGUUCUCUUCGACCCGUCUUGAAACACGGACCAAGGAGUCUAGCACAUGUGCGAGUUCACAGGUGGCAAGCCUGCUUGCGCAAUGAAGGUGACAGCUGGGAUUUCUGCACCAGCAACCGACCGAUCAAUUGAGAGAAGUUUGAGUAUGAGCAUAUGUGUUAGGACCCGAAAGAUGGUGAACUAUGCCUGUGAAGGGCAAAGUCAGGGGAAACUCUGAUGGAGGCUCGUAGCGAUACUGACGUGCAAAUCGUUCGUCAUACAUGGGUAUAGGGGCGAAAGACUAAUCGAACCAUC